GUGGUUGUGGCUCAGUGGUAGAGCACUUGCCUAUCAUGUAUGAGGUGUUGGGUUCAAUCCUCAGCACCACA
This 71-nucleotide transfer RNA is filed under the name Marmota marmota marmota (Alpine marmot). It matches the Rfam family "tRNA". From Rfam's summary of the family: Transfer RNA (tRNA) molecules are approximately 80 nucleotides in length. Lineage: Eukaryota; Metazoa; Chordata; Mammalia; Rodentia; Sciuridae. The record is from Rfam by way of RNAcentral. RNAcentral also lists the same sequence under 1 other name.